AGUGGGGAAUAUUGGACAAUGGGCGCAAGCCUGAUCCAGCCAUGCCGCGUGAGUGAUGAAGGUCUUAGGAUUGUAAAGCUCUUUCAGCAGGGAAGAUAAUGACGGUACCUGCAGAAGAAGCCCCGGCAAACUUCGUGCCAGCAGCCGCGGUAAUACGAAGGGGGCUAGCGUUGUUCGGAUUUACUGGGCGUAAAGCGCACGUAGGCGGACUAUUAAGUCAGGGGUGAAAUCCCGGGGCUCAACCCCGGAACUGCCUUUGAUACUGGUAGUCUUGAGUUCGAGAGAGGUGAGUGGAAUUCCGAGUGUAGAGGUGAAAUUCGUAGAUAUUCGGAGGAACACCAGUGGCGAAGGCGGCUCACUGGCUCGAUACUGACGCUGAGGUGCGAAAGCGUGGGGAGCAAA
Molecule: ribosomal RNA, 402 nt
Filed under: uncultured Phyllobacterium sp.
Lineage: Bacteria; Pseudomonadati; Pseudomonadota; Alphaproteobacteria; Hyphomicrobiales; Phyllobacteriaceae
Description: bacterial SSU rRNA
Rfam family: Bacterial small subunit ribosomal RNA
Source: RNAcentral